UGGACACUACUUGGGAUUUCUCGCCCAUAGAACACAAAAACCACACAAAUCGGUUGGAAAUACGAGUGAUGAAGAAAUACAUUAUACAUUUGGGUCUGGCUAAUAACCAUGCUCACCCAUCAUAAUCAUAAUAUUCUCAACGCUACGAAAAAUAACACGAUACUAAUGCUAUAAUCCAAAACACUGGAAACUCUGGAAAUACUGAUGACGCACAGACACAUAUAAACUUCCGUGGGAAAUGCUGAAUAUAAUAUAUAAUGGAUAUAUUUUUUAUUUUCAAUGCUACGCAAAAUAAUACGAUACUGAUGCUAUAAUACGGAACCCUGGAAGCUCUGGAAGUACUGAAGACGCACACACAUAUAAACUUCCGUGGGAAUUGCUGAUGACUUAACACCAUACAUAUUAUAACAUAAUAAACCACAAUCUCAUAUUUUGUUUCUCAACACUAAAACCCCUAUUAAAAUGUGCAUAUAAAA
Molecule: long non-coding RNA, 476 nt
Organism: Drosophila takahashii
Lineage: Eukaryota; Metazoa; Arthropoda; Insecta; Diptera; Drosophilidae
Source: RefSeq, a predicted model, not a curated record